CCUACGGGUGGCAGCAGUGAGGAAUAUUGGUCAAUGGGCGCGAGCCUGAACCAGCCAAGUAGCGUGAAGGAUGACUGCUCUACGGGUCGUAAACUUCUUUUAUAUAAGAAUAAAGUGCGGCACGUAUACUGUUUUGUAUGUAUUUUAUGAAUAAGGAUCGGCUAACUCCGUGCCAGCAGCCGCGGUAAUACGGAGGAUCCGAGCGUUAUCCGGAUUUAUUGGGUUUAAAGGGAGCGUAGAUGGGUUGGUAAGUCAGUUGUGAAAGUUUGCGGCUCAACCGUAAAAUUGCAAUUGAUACUGUCAGUCGUGAGUACAGUAGAGGUAGGCGGAAUUCGUGGUGUAGCGGUGAAAUGCUUAGAUAUCACGAAGAACUCCGAUUGCGAAGGCAGCUUACUAGACUGCAACUGACACUGAUGCUCGAAAGUGUGGGUAUCAAACAGGAUUAGAUACCCGGGUAGUC
This 460-nucleotide ribosomal RNA is filed under the name uncultured bacterium. RNAcentral describes it as "partial 16S ribosomal RNA". It matches the Rfam family "Bacterial small subunit ribosomal RNA", at positions 338 to 795 of the family's 1533-position model. The record is from RNAcentral.